AUUUGAUGAUGUGGGCAGCUUGCACACAACUUUUUGAAACGCUCCCAAUACUCAUAUAAAGUUUCUCCAUUCAGUUGGCGAAUGCCACAUAUGUCUUUUCUUAUGCU
Small nucleolar RNA from Tripterygium wilfordii, 107 nucleotides. The record is from RefSeq and is a predicted model, not a curated record. Lineage: Eukaryota; Viridiplantae; Streptophyta; Magnoliopsida; Celastrales; Celastraceae.